Small nucleolar RNA from Vigna unguiculata (cowpea), 87 nucleotides. RefSeq annotates it as small nucleolar RNA snoR113. The record is from RefSeq and is a predicted model, not a curated record. NCBI's taxonomy places the organism in Eukaryota, Viridiplantae, Streptophyta, Magnoliopsida, Fabales, Fabaceae.
UGGCAAUGAUGAUUAAAAAGGCCGUACUUACGGCUGUCAUUGGUAGUAGAUUGAUGAACUUUAUCGUGAAAGUGUGUUCUGAGCUAG